This 433-nucleotide ribosomal RNA is filed under the name uncultured bacterium. RNAcentral's name for it is "bacterial SSU rRNA". It matches the Rfam family "Bacterial small subunit ribosomal RNA", at positions 958 to 1393 of the family's 1533-position model. The record is from RNAcentral.
AACGCGAAGAACCUUACCUGGGCUCGAAAUGUAGUGGACCGGGGUGGAAACAUCCCUUCCCGCAAGGGCUGCUAUAUAGGUGCUGCAUGGCUGUCGUCAGCUCGUGUCGUGAGAUGUUGGGUUAAGUCCCGCAACGAGCGCAACCCUCGCCUUCAGUUGCCAGCAGGUUUGGCUGGGCACUCUGAAGGAACUGCCGGUGACAAGCCGGAGGAAGGUGGGGAUGACGUCAAGUCCUCAUGGCCCUUAUGUCCUGGGCUACACACGUGCUACAAUGGCGGUGACAGCGGGAUGCUAGGUCGCGAGGCCAAGCCGAUCCCAAAAAGCCGUCUCAGUUCAGAUUGCACUCUGCAACUCGGGUGCAUGAAGGUGGAAUCGCUAGUAAUCGCGGAUCAGCACGCCGCGGUGAAUACGUUCCCGGGUCUUGUACACACGC